This 565-nucleotide small RNA is filed under the name Pan troglodytes (chimpanzee). RNAcentral's name for it is "processed transcript". The record is from RNAcentral. Lineage: Eukaryota; Metazoa; Chordata; Mammalia; Primates; Hominidae.
GGUCUUCCCACAGCUCCCACUAGCCAGCAUCUGUCAAAACUGAGGGACAGACUCCUGUGCAAGUCAAGGGAAAGUUGACUUUGAUGUCACUGGGCCUCAUGCCCCUAUUCUGGCUAUGGCUGGGGGACACGUGGAGUUACAGUGCCAGCUGUUCCCCAAUAUCAGUGCCGAGGACAUGGAGCUGAGGUGGUACAGGUGCCAGCCCUCCCUAGCUGUGCACAUGCAUGAGAGAGGGAUGGACAUGGAUGGAGAGCAAAAGUGGCAGUACAGAGGAAGGACCACCUUCAUGAGUGACCAGGUGGCCAGGGGCAAGGCCAUGGUGAGGAGUCACAGGGUCACCACCUUUGACAACGGGACAUACUGCUGCCGCUUCAAGGAUGGUGUAAAGUUCGGCGAGGCCACUGUGCAGGUGCAGGUGGCAGGGCUGGGCACGGAGCCCAGAAUCCAGGUGACAGACCAGCAGGAUGGAGUCAGGGCGGAGUGCACAUCAGCAGGCUAUUUCCCCAAGUCCUGGGUGGAACGGAGAGACUUCAGGGGCCAGGCUAGGCCUGCUGUGACCAAUCUA